CUGGGCUUCUAUGGUAAGCGGUCUCCUUUUGGACUCCUACAGGAACCGGACUCCAUCCGAACUUCUGCAGCGGUUGGAUUCCGGGCGAACUUCUACAACGGACGUGCUCCAGCAGUCAGAUUUCUAUAGUGACCGACUGUCUCUGGUGUCUUCCAUACCUCUCCGGCCAUCAACCUUCGACAGCGCUAGCCAACCUUCCACAGAUCCAUCUGAUCUCCUUUAGCGGAUGAACUUCCACAAUGCCUUUCAAAUUACGCUAUCAGCCGACCUUCCACAGAUCCAUUCGAGCCUCUACUGUAAACG
RNAcentral lists this long non-coding RNA (303 nucleotides) under Elaeis guineensis (African oil palm). Its description in RNAcentral is "long non-coding RNA (EGUI_LNC078974)". Lineage: Eukaryota; Viridiplantae; Streptophyta; Magnoliopsida; Arecales; Arecaceae. The record is from RNAcentral.